RNAcentral lists this ribosomal RNA (562 nucleotides) under Salmonella enterica subsp. enterica serovar Takoradi. Its description in RNAcentral is "partial 23S ribosomal RNA". It matches the Rfam family "Bacterial large subunit ribosomal RNA", at positions 711 to 1269 of the family's 2925-position model. Lineage: Bacteria; Pseudomonadati; Pseudomonadota; Gammaproteobacteria; Enterobacterales; Enterobacteriaceae. The record is from RNAcentral.
AGACCCGAAACCCGGUGAUCUAGCCAUGGGCAGGUUGAAGGUUGGGUAACACUAACUGGAGGACCGAACCGACUAAUGUUGAAAAAUUAGCGGAUGACCUGUGGCUGGGGGUGAAAGGCCAAUCAAACCGGGAGAUAGCUGGUUCUCCCCGAAAGCUAUUUAGGUAGCGCCUCGUGAACUCAUCUCCGGGGGUAGAGCACUGUUUCGGCUAGGGGGCCAUCCCGGCUUACCAACCCGAUGCAAACUGCGAAUACCGGAGAAUGUUAUCACGGGAGACACACGGCGGGUGCUAACGUCCGUCGUGAAGAGGGAAACAACCCAGACCGCCAGCUAAGGUCCCAAAGUCAUGGUUAAGUGGGAAACGAUGUGGGAAGGCCCAGACAGCCAGGAUGUUGGCUUAGAAGCAGCCAUCAUUUAAAGAAAGCGUAAUAGCUCACUGGUCGAGUCGGCCUGCGCGGAAGAUGUAACGGGGCUAAACCAUGCACCGAAGCUGCGGCAGCGACGCUGAUGCGUUGUUGGGUAGGGGAGCGUUCUGUAAGCCUGUGAAGGUGGCCUGUGAGGG